Molecule: ribosomal RNA, 611 nt
Filed under: uncultured bacterium
Lineage: Bacteria
Description: bacterial SSU rRNA
Rfam family: Bacterial small subunit ribosomal RNA
Source: RNAcentral
CCUACGGGAGGCAGCAGUGGGGAAUUUUGGACAAUGGGCGCAAGCCUGAUCCAGCAAUGCCGCGUGAGUGAAGAAGGCCUUCGGGUUGUAAAGCUCUUUUGUCAGGGAAGAAACGGUGGGGGCUAAUAUCUCCCACUAAUGACGGUACCUGAAGAAUAAGCACCGGCUAACUACGUGCCAGCAGCCGCGGUAAUACGUAGGGUGCAAGCGUUAAUCGGAAUUACUGGGCGUAAAGCGUGCGCAGGCGGUUUUGUAAGUUUGUCGUGAAAUCCCCGGGCUCAACCUGGGAAUGGCGAUGAAGACUGCAAGGCUAGAAUCUGGCAGAGGGGGGUAGAAUUCCACGUGUAGCAGUGAAAUGCGUAGAGAUGUGGAGGAACACCGAUGGCGAAGGCAGCCCCCUGGGUCAAGAUUGACGCUCAUGCACGAAAGCGUGGGGAGCAAACAGGAUUAGAUACCCUGGUAGUCCACGCCCUAAACGAUGUCUACUAGUUGUCGGGUUUUAAUUAACUUGGUAACGCAGCUAACGCGUGAAGUAGACCGCCUGGGGAAGUCGGUCGCAAGNUUAAACUUAAUUGAUGNGNGNGNGNGNGCGAGACGACGACGAGGAGAGG